This 1167-nucleotide long non-coding RNA is filed under the name Homo sapiens (human). Its description in RNAcentral is "non-protein coding lnc-ANKDD1B-2:1". The record is from RNAcentral. Lineage: Eukaryota; Metazoa; Chordata; Mammalia; Primates; Hominidae.
GAAGAAUGGAGAAGAAUUGUAGGGCCCAAGAUCAGAGAGAUGAGUAGGGCCAGAUCAUGUGGGCAAGCUUUUAUGUAUUAGCACGCUUAGAAUUAAUAUUCUGCUUGAGAACUAACCUGAUAUUUGAAACAGAGUGAAAAAGAAAAUACCUCCCACAGUAUACUUCAUAGCUUCUUAUUUAGCCCAAGCUGUCAGGGAAAUAAAGUCCAGCUAUGGCUAAGUUUCACAUAAUGCACUGCUUUGGAGUUUUUGUCUCAUCUGUUAGAGUAAGAUAAGUACCACAUACUAUUAUAAGGCUAUAUAGCAUAAAAUGAUGAUGCAUUUUCUCCUGUCAUUGAUAAGAGGAUUUUUUUAAAAGUAAAUUUCUUGGUUUAGAAUUUGAAAGCAGUUUCAAACUUGGAUAACACAAUUCAGAUCUUUUUUUAAAAUUAUUUUUUAUUUAUAUUAAAAAAAAAUUUUUUUUUUGAGAUAGGGUCUGGCUCUAUCACGCAGACUGGCACACAGUGGCACAAUCUUGGCUCAUUGCAACCUCUGCCUCCCAGGCUGAAGCCAUCCUCCCACCUCAGCCUCCCAAGUAGCUGGGACUACAGGCAUGCACCACCAUGCCUGGCUAAUUUUUGUAGAGAGGGGGUCUCACUUUGUUACCCAGACUGGGAGAUUUUUCUGUACUUGGCUGUAUGCUUUCCAUUGAUCUGCUGCUGUUUUCACUAUUAUUCCUUCUUUUGUGUGGGUAUUUUCUUUUGAUUUUUAGAAUUUUACUUGUAAACAUGCUACAUAUACAUAUAAUUUGGUGCCCUGUUUUUCCAUUUACAUAUUAUACUUUCCAUAUUAGUACAUUGUCUGAUAUUUCUGCAUAAUACUCAAUUCAACUUACCUGCUAUUGUUUUUAUCAUAUCUCUAUUACAAACAUUAGGCCCAUUUCCCUUUUUUAAAAGAGGAAAGUUUGAGGUUAUGGGCGGUGUUCUGAUAAAAUAAAUAAUAUUUUGUCAUGUUUGUUUUUUCAUUGAUUAGGAAACAUUGUUUUGAAUUUAAUGCCUCAAAUUUGGUGCACAAUAAUUUGAAGGGAAAAACUGACAAGUUUGAAAUGAACAUUGAUAUUACAUAAUUUACAUUAAAAUGAUACAUCUUUUGUAAAUUUGUAAGAAGAAUAAAUAAAUGAAAACCUGA